Molecule: long non-coding RNA, 4520 nt
Organism: Gallus gallus (chicken)
Lineage: Eukaryota; Metazoa; Chordata; Aves; Galliformes; Phasianidae
Exons: 2
Source: RefSeq, a predicted model, not a curated record
GGCCGCCCGCAGCGCUCAGCCAGGUCUCUCCCAAGGGAGCCUGCCGGGAACUGCCGCGCCUCGCCUCGCCUCACAGCCUCCCUCCCGCUCCUCCAGACGGUGAGACACGGCUCGCCCGGACCCACCUGCCUGCUUGCUCCCAGCCGCAGCGGCGGGACUGCCGGUGAGCCGCAGCCCGCGCCCUCCCUCACGUCCUCUCUCUCCGUCGCCGAGGCAACACCGCGCCGCGCCGCGCCGCUCCCCACCCCUCCCUCCCUGGCCGGACGGGGGGCCCGGCUCAGGUGACCGCAGGCAGCCAAUCAGCGGCCACACGUGCCCCGCGGCGAGCAGGCGCGCGCUCCCGCUGAGGCGGGGCCGCGCGGGCGAGGCGGCGGCGGCGGUGGGGUCGCGUUAGGCGGGUGUCGCGUACGGCCGAUAGCUGCCGCCGCCUCAGAGGGCGGGCGGAACCGCGCUCCCGCCUCGGUGAUGUGCCGGUGCUGUUACCAGGCAUCGAGGGGGAAAAACAAAACAAAGCAAACAAAAUAAUAGCACAAAAGCUCUUCACCUCAGGAUCAGCCCUAAGCGCUGCUCGGCUCCCCUUUAUCCUUGUUGCACGGAGCAGCCAGGCUUUACGCAGCCAGGCACCACCUGCGGCUGCAGAGGUCCUCUGGUGAUUCCCUGUGAAGUUCUCCCCUCAGUGCUUAGGUGGGGUUUUCUUUCCUGCUAGCUCAAAGUCUGAAAUGUUUUGCCGUUCUAUAGGCAACUAAGCUGUGGUGUAAUGCCAAGCACGAGCUCAGAAACCCAGCCCUUCACAGGGAAGACAUUGUUCAUAUUCACUAGAAUAGAUGUGACUUACUGCCGCUUGUAUGGUGAAUUAGGGGCUGGGCUGGCAUUAGUGAUGCUCCAACUUUGGUGAAACCAAUCUCAGUGAAACGAUCUUGUGAGGAACUCAGAAGUUUCAACUUUGAAUUAAGAGAUUAACGCUACCACCACAGUCCAAGCAAUACUAUGGAUACAUUGGGAACUGAGGGCCUGCAAAGACGAGUUCUGUUUCAGGCCUGCUGCCAGAAGGAGCUCUGUGAAAGGCUGGAAUGUCUGCGAGGAAUGGCACGUUACAGCAGCGGCGGUGCAUCUGUUGUGCAUGGCAGCUGCUGUGCAGCACUGGGCUCCAUGCAUCCUCUUGGUAUUUACAGACAACUGCUUUGAAUGUUAUGUUUUGUGUGGACACCUGUAAAAUACACUGCACAGGUUCUUGUUGGAGUUGCCCUGUGUGUUUCAGAUGCUCGUUUUAAAGAAUAUAGUUAUAGAAGUGUAUUAAAACAUCACUGAGUUCUUAAAGUCUUGACUAAACACUGAGGACUACCACAGAAAGAAGCAUUAAGACUUUCUCAUCACACAGAGGUUUACUAUUGCGAUGAAUUAUUAAGAACUAUGAAGGUGAUGAAGUCUGGAACACUGAAGUGUGUUUAAGUCCCUGUUGGAGCAUGUAAAUUAAAAUGGAUGGGUUAAUUCCAUUCAUCACUGAAAGAUAAUGAAAAUUGCAGGCCUUCUUUUUGAAUUAGGAUAUUUCUUCUAAGGAAAUGGAAGUCAGCGAACAGAUUUUCACUACAGUAGAGAAAGCAACGAAAAAGUAUUUGGAAAGUAGUUCCAGCUGACCGCUCUGAUAAGACUAAGUUACGUGACAUAUCUGAUGUGGAAGAAGAAAUUGUACAGCAAUAGGAAGUUGUUAUCUCCAUAUCUCAAAUGCUAACACAGCUCCCCCAGUCAACUGUGAGAUAGAUCUACUCUUGUUAUGACAGCUGCUGGAAACUGAUGUCAGUAUAUCUGUACAGUGUCUUUUGAUAGUCUUAACUGUUACAAAUCUUAAAGUAUGUUUAUGAUGUUAUCUAAGACACGCUGUUUGAAAAUGGCUCUAUUUAUAAUCAGAAAUUGCUCGUGCUUUUUUAAUAAAUAAAUUAUAGGCUAGUCUGAUUUGCUCGAACUUUUUCUUUCUGAAGCCUUAAGCCAGAGGAUUAAUUAAUGUUUAUACAGCACUUUGUAAACACAGGCAUAAGCGCCAAGAAUUAUUAUUAUUUAAUCUUUAAAAGUCAGAUCAAUGAAAAAUUGAACUGUCAGAGAACUGCUUUUUAAAACAAAAAAAAGAAAAACUGAGAAUUCCCUGCUCCCUGCCCACGCCCCCCCCUCCCCAAUAUGUCCAACUCUGCUUCCAUUUCAGUCUCACAUACAGACAAAGAAGUUUCAGUUUUAAUAGGUUAACGCCCAUCUGUAGGGACUUUUUACAUAAUGAAAAAAAAAAAAAAAUCUUAAAUGCAGUUCCAGGGCCUGAAUGUUGCAAAUAUGUUAAUGUUUAAGUCCAUCAAUGUAACCUAUCUCAUUAGCAGUGUUACUUCUGUGAGCAGCUUUACUCAUCUGUGUGAUUGUAGAGUCAGAUCCUUACAGAGAUAAUUUAAAUGUAUUUGACUUGUAGCUAUUUUGACUCCUGGGGAAAACUAAAAGAAUUCCUAUACUAUGUUUUGCUGUUUUUUUAAUUAUUAUUAUUUUUUAUUUUUUUCUGCUUCUCUCUCUACUUUACAGCAAGGUAAGGUUUAGAAACACUUUUCCUCAGGAAAUAAAGGUACAUGUUAGAACACAAGCAGCAAGCAAGAGAAGAUUGGAAAGGUGAAGAAGCUCAUCAGUGAAGCAUAGGACUGGUUAAUAAAAUUAAGGUUUGAAACUGUCUUUUCAGGGUUACAGGAACAUGCUUUGGUACCUCCUCAAAGAAAAAUUCUACACUUUGCUUUGACUAUGCCUUCAAUGAUAUUCUUCCUUGACAGCUAUACGCACAUUAUUCAUGCAGUGCUAAUUACUUUCCUGAGAAUGUAAUUGACUUGUUAAGUUAGAAUGUGAAUUAAUUGGUGGUAUAGAAAAGUAAAUGAUACAAAGUCAGGCCUGGUCUUAAUCUGUGUUUGGCAUAUUAUCUCUUGAUAUUAAGUAAAUUUUUAAUUUAUAUAUACAAAUAUACUUCUAAUUUGAAUGAAUCAAAGAUUUCAGACUAACUAAUGAAAGAUGGCUACAUUCAUCUGGAAGUGCUGAUAACUUAAUUUUAUUCAUAUGUGAGCAGACUGUGAAAAUUUGGUUUUGCAUAUUACUAUAAUGUACAUGAAAAUAUACAUGAAAUGUGAACAUCCUGAGGGUCCUGGACUGAAAUCCCCCAAAGAAUGGUAUUGUAAUACUGCUUAAUAGCUACCAGUUAUGCUGACUUUUCCUUGCAUUUUGUUAAUAAAUAAAAAGUCUUACACACAUCUAAGUUUAGAUUUAAGCACAGAUAUUUGAAGUCAGUGAUUCAGGAGAACUCACUAUCCACCAUUAAGUCUUGAUGUUCAGGCAGCUCACUGUCUGGAAUGUUGAACUUCUUUGCAAGUCUGGCCUCAAUUAUGGGUUCUAAGUUCUUCUGAAAAUCUACAUUAUCUUUAAAUACCUGCAGAAGAAACUCAAGUCUUAUUUUCAAAGUCUGCCUCCUGCUAUAGACACAGAACCACUCACAGAUUUGGCCCAUACUCAUAAAAAUUCUGGCCUUUGAAGUGCAAAUGCCCAGUGAAUAAUCCCAAUUCUUCUAAUGAUUCUUUACAGUGAAUUUCUGAAGUACUAUUCUUCUAUUUUCUUAGACAGAGUACAUAUUUGUAAUAUGAAUUUGAGGAGCAAUAUGAAAUAUUUUGAAGUAAAGCUGUUUCACUGAAAUAGUGAAUAGGAAAACUUUCCUGGAGUUCUGCAAAACCAGGUGUUUGCUAUAGAUAAGCUAAAGAUUUCUUUAAUAUCCUUAUUAAUAUGCCAUAAAAGAAACAUCUAUCGUCAUGUUACAAUGUUAAUUGUAUUAUCAAGAUUUCUCUUUGUAUUUAAUAGUUGAACUCACACCUCUUUGAUGUUGAAAUUUGAAAAAACUCCCUUUUGCAUGUAAGGAUGUGAUAUUUGUAAAUACAGUUCUAAAACCUUGUGGAAGAGGAUACCUUUACAUCUCAAGUGUGCAACCAGUAGGAUAAAAAGUGUUGCUUGAAGAAGGCAGGCUUUACCAAAUACACAGAGAGAAAUAAAUACACAGUGUGUAGGAAAUAUGGCUGGUCUUUUCUUAGAAAAUAAACAUUCCUCCAAGUCCUGUAAUGCUGUAUUCGAAUAUCACUUUACAAAACUACAGACAGCUGAAAUGAGUAGUGCACACAAAGUAUUAUAUACCCAUCAAUACUGAAACAAAUCUGAUUUAGCCUCAGUUUUCAAAUGCCUAUAUAUUCUAGAUAUGUUUUAAAAAAUACAGUUCUGCAAAAGUUACAAAUCUAAAUGGCACAGAAGUUAUAUAUAUUUUAAAGUAUGUACACUAAAUGCUGUGCAGUAUUGCUGCUUUUGUGAACUUUAAAAUCUCUUAAACUCUUGCAAAAGAAAACUGGAAAAAAGCACAAAAUCCGGUACCUGUUAUGUGGUGAAGUCUCCCAGUGCCCAGGCUUUCUGCAACUUAAUUUCACACUGCCAGAGCUUCUGCAUUAAAUGCUUUUACCUCCUUAAAAAAAAAAAAA